Molecule: ribosomal RNA, 253 nt
Filed under: uncultured bacterium
Lineage: Bacteria
Description: partial 16S ribosomal RNA
Rfam family: Bacterial small subunit ribosomal RNA
Source: RNAcentral
GACAGAGGGUGCAAACGUUGUUCGGAAUUACUGGGCGUAAAGCGCGUGUAGGCGGCCCUGCAAGUCGGGUGUGAAAUCCCACGGCCCAACCGUGGAAGUGCACUCGAAACUGCAGGGCUAGAGUCCUGGAGAGGAAGGUGGAAUGCUUGGUGUAGAGGUGAAAUUCGUAGAUAUCAAGCGGAACACCGGUGGCGAAGGCGGCCUUCUGGACAGUGACUGACGCUGAGACGCGAAAGCGUGGGGAGCAAACAGG